GGAAACGUGCCCGAAAGNCUAGGGAACUCCUUGAUGGGGAGAACCACAGAGGUUUAAGUCCUCUCGCUUCCUUA
This 74-nucleotide transfer RNA is filed under the name Pristimantis sp. QCAZ 56535. Its description in RNAcentral is "Pristimantis sp. QCAZ56535 tRNA-Ile". Lineage: Eukaryota; Metazoa; Chordata; Amphibia; Anura; Strabomantidae. The record is from RNAcentral.